RNAcentral lists this transfer RNA (73 nucleotides) under Lactobacillus crispatus. RNAcentral describes it as "tRNA-OTHER". It matches the Rfam family "tRNA". From Rfam's summary of the family: Transfer RNA (tRNA) molecules are approximately 80 nucleotides in length. Their secondary structure includes four short double-helical elements and three loops (D, anti-codon, and T loops). Further hydrogen bonds mediate the characteristic L-shaped molecular structure. tRNAs have two regions of fundamental functional importance: the anti-codon, which is responsible for specific mRNA codon recognition, and the 3' end, to which the tRNAs corresponding amino acid is attached (by aminoacyl-tRNA synthetases). tRNAs cope with the degeneracy of the genetic code in two manners: having more than one tRNA (with a specific anti-codon) for a particular amino acid; and 'wobble' base-pairing, i.e. permitting non-standard base-pairing at the 3rd anti-codon position. Lineage: Bacteria; Bacillati; Bacillota; Bacilli; Lactobacillales; Lactobacillaceae. The record is from RNAcentral.
AGGGAGCUAGCUCAAUUGGUAGAGCAAAAGCGGCGUACACCGCAGGAUGUGUGUUCGAAUCCCACACUCCCUA